UCUUAAAAUUCUUUUAUCAUUGGUCUCAAACCCAACAUAAUUAUGAGUUUGACAUAAGAACUGAAAUGCUACCAACAAUGGAAGUCUGCAAGAAGUAAAAAAGAAAUGGAAGGACAACAAUAUAGAAGCCAUACCAAGUUAAAUUAAUGAUACUAGGAUCCUCCAAAGAGCUGCCUUUACAUACAUAGAUCAUUACUUAUUAGCAAGGUCUAGGUAAGAUGCAGAAAUGGUAGAAGAGAGCUCUACUGGAUUAGGACCUUUGCCACCAUUAUGUACAUUUGACAGUCAUUGAGAAGCUAUAUGUCUUGCUUAGGCUUCCGACUUACCUCGGAAUACUGACCACCCAUCAACUGCAAUAUCUCUCCCCACAAACUCUCUGAUGAUGAAGUUUGUGAACCUGCAAAAAUCAGAUUUGAACUACAUGAGGCAACGUACCAAUAACCGGACUCAAUCUCUUCCCUCAACUGGUCAAGUAGAUUUGAACUACAUGAGGCAACAUACCAAUAACCGGAUUCAAUCUCUUCCCUCAACUGGUCAAGCUGCCACCCCGCAUAGCCAACGAAGAAUCUGAAAUCUUGUGGCUUAAGCACCCCUU
This 595-nucleotide long non-coding RNA is filed under the name Nicotiana benthamiana. Its description in RNAcentral is "long non-coding RNA (NBEN_LNC013404)". Lineage: Eukaryota; Viridiplantae; Streptophyta; Magnoliopsida; Solanales; Solanaceae. The record is from RNAcentral.